AGAGUUUGAUCCUGGCUCAGAUUGAACGCUGUCGGCAGGCCUAACACAUGCAAGUCGAGCGGUAGAGAGAAGCUUGCUUCUCUUGAGAGCGGCGGACGGGUGAGUAAUGCCUAGGAAUCUGCCUGGUAGUGGGGGAUAACGUUCGGAAACGGACGCUAAUACCGCAUACGUCCUACGGGAGAAAGCAGGGGACCUUCGGGCCUUGCGCUAUCAGAUGAGCCUAGGUCGGAUUAGCUAGUUGGUGAGGUAAUGGCUCACCAAGGCGACGAUCCGUAACUGGUCUGAGAGGAUGAUCAGUCACACUGGAACUGAGACACGGUCCAGACUCCUACGGGAGGCAGCAGUGGGGAAUAUUGGACAAUGGGCGAAAGCCUGAUCCAGCCAUGCCGCGUGUGUGAAGAAGGUCUUCGGAUUGUAAAGCACUUUAAGUUGGGAGGAAGGGCAGUAAAUUAAUACUUUGCUGUUUUGACGUUACCGACAGAAUAAGCACCGGCUAACUCUGUGCCAGCAGCCGCGGUAAUACAGAGGGUGCAAGCGUUAAUCGGAAUUACUGGGCGUAAAGCGCGCGUAGGUGGUUUGUUAAGUUGGAUGUGAAAUCCCCGGGCUCAACCUGGGAACUGCAUUCAAAACUGACUGACUAGAGUAUGGUAGAGGGUGGUGGAAUUUCCUGUGUAGCGGUGAAAUGCGUAGAUAUAGGAAGGAACACCAGUGGCGAAGGCGACCACCUGGACUAAUACUGACACUGAGGUGCGAAAGCGUGGGGAGCAAACAGGGUUAGAUACCCUGGUAGUCCACGCCGUAAACGAUGUCAACUAGCCGUUGGAAGCCUUGAGCUUUUAGUGGCGCAGCUAACGCAUUAAGUUGACCGCCUGGGGAGUACGGCCGCAAGGUUAAAACUCAAAUGAAUUGACGGGGGCCCGCACAAGCGGUGGAGCAUGUGGUUUAAUUCGAAGCAACGCGAAGAACCUUACCAGGCCUUGACAUCCAAUGAACUUUCUAGAGAUAGAUUGGUGCCUUCGGGAACAUUGAGACAGGUGCUGCAUGGCUGUCGUCAGCUCGUGUCGUGAGAUGUUGGGUUAAGUCCCGUAACGAGCGCAACCCUUGUCCUUAGUUACCAGCACGUAAUGGUGGGCACUCUAAGGAGACUGCCGGUGACAAACCGGAGGAAGGUGGGGAUGACGUCAAGUCAUCAUGGCCCUUACGGCCUGGGCUACACACGUGCUACAAUGGUCGGUACAGAGGGUUGCCAAGCCGCGAGGUGGAGCUAAUCCCACAAAACCGAUCGUAGUCCGGAUCGCAGUCUGCAACUCGACUGCGUGAAGUCGGAAUCGCUAGUAAUCGCGAAUCAGAAUGUCGCGGUGAAUACGUUCCCGGGCCUUCAAACGCCGCCCGUC
This 1394-nucleotide ribosomal RNA is filed under the name uncultured bacterium. RNAcentral describes it as "bacterial SSU rRNA". It matches the Rfam family "Bacterial small subunit ribosomal RNA". The record is from RNAcentral.